This 727-nucleotide ribosomal RNA is filed under the name uncultured bacterium. Its description in RNAcentral is "bacterial SSU rRNA". It matches the Rfam family "Bacterial small subunit ribosomal RNA", at positions 74 to 789 of the family's 1533-position model. The record is from RNAcentral.
CGGGGCUUGCCCCGGGGCAGAGCCGCGAACGGGUGAGUACACGUGGGUAACCCACCCCGAUGACCGGGACAACCCGAGGAAACUCGAGCUAAUACCGGAUGUGCCCCUUCACCAUGAGGUGACUGAGUAAAGAUAGCUUCGGCCUUCGCAUCGGGACGGGCCCGCGGCCCAUUAGCUUGUUGGUGGGGUAAAGGCCUACCAAGGCGACGAUGGGUAGCUGGUCUGAGAGGACGAUCAGCCACACUGGGACUGAGACACGGCCCAGACUCCUACGGGAGGCAGCAGUGGGGAAUCUUGCACAAUGCGCGAAAGCGUGAUGCAGCAACGCCGCGUGGGGGAAGACGGCCUUCGGGUUGUAAACCCCUUUCAGUUGGGACGAAGCUUCGCCGGUGAAUAGCCGGCUGGAGUGACGGUACCUUCACAAGAAGCCCCGGCUAACUACGUGCCAGCAGCCGCGGUAAUACGUAGGGGGCUAGCGUUGUCCGGAAUCAUUGGGCGUAAAGCGCGUGUAGGCGGUUCGGUAAGUCCGCUGUGAAAGUCGGGGGCUCAACCCUCGGAUGCCGGUGGAUACUGUCGGACUAGAGUACGGAAGAGGCGAGUGGAAUUCCUGGUGUAGCGGUGAAAUGCGCAGAUAUCAGGAGGAACACCGAUUGCGAAGGCAGCUCGCUGGGACGUUACUGACGCUGAUACGCGAAAGCGUGGGGAGCAAACAGGAUUAGAUACCCUG